AGUGGCGAACGGGUGAGUAAUGCGUGAGCAACCUGCCCUUCAGAGGGGGACAACAGCUGGAAACGGCUGCUAAUACCGCAUAACACACCGGGGUGGCAUCACCCUGGUGUCAAAGGAGCAAUCCGCUGAGAGAUGGGCUCACGUCUGAUUAGCUGGUUGGUGAGGUAACGGCUCACCAAGGCGACGAUCAGUAGCCGGUCUGAGAGGAUGAACGGCCACAUUGGGACUGAGAUACGGCCCAGACUCCUACGGGAGGCAGCAGUGGGGAAUAUUGGGCAAUGGGCGAAAGCCUGACCCAGCAACGCCGCGUGAAGGAAGAAGGCUUUCGGGUUGUAAACUUCUUUUAUCAGGGACGAAGGAUGUGACGGUACCUGAUGAAUAAGCCACGGCUAACUACGUGCCAGCAGCCGCGGUAAUAUGUAGGUGGCAAGCGUUGUCCGGAAUUACUGGGUGUAAAGGGAGCGCAGGCGGGAAGACAAGUUGGAAGUGAAAUCUAUGGGCUCAACCCAUAAACUGCUUUCAAAACUGUUUUUCUUGAGUGGUGCAGAGGUAGGCGGAAUUCCCGGUGUAGCGGUGGAAUGCGUAGAUAUCGGGAGGAACACCAGUGGCGAAGGCGGCCUACUGGGCACCAACUGACGCUGAGGCUCGAAAGUGUGGGUAGCAAACAGGAUUAGAUACCCUGGUAGUCCACACCGUAAACGAUGAUUACUAGGUGUUGGAGGAUUGACCCCUUCAGUGCCGCAGUUAACACAAUAAGUAAUCCACCUGGGGAGUACGACCGCAAGGUUGAAACUCAAAGGAAUUGACGGGGGCCCGCACAAGCAGUGGAGUAUGUGGUUUAAUUCGACGCAACGCGAAGAACCUUACCAAGUCUUGACAUCCUGCGACGCACAUAGAAAUAUGUGUUUCCUUCGGGACGCAGAGACAGGUGGUGCAUGGUUGUCGUCAGCUCGUGUCGUGAGAUGUUGGGUUAAGUCCCGCAACGAGCGCAACCCUUAUCCUCAGUAGCCAGCAAGUGAAGUUGGGCACUCUGUGGAGACUGCCAGGGAUAACCUGGAGGAAGGUGGGGAUGACGUCAAAUCAUCAUGCCCCUUAUGAUUUGGGCUACACACGUGCUACAAUGGCGUAAACAAAGGGAAGCGAUCACGCGAGUGUGAGCAAAUCCCAAAAAUAACGUCUCAGUUCGGAUUGUAGUCUGCAACUCGACUACAUGAAGCUGGAAUCGCUAGUAAUCGCGAAUCAGAAUGUCGCGGUGAAUACGUUCCCGGGUCUUGUACACACCGCCCGUCA
RNAcentral lists this ribosomal RNA (1290 nucleotides) under uncultured bacterium. Its description in RNAcentral is "bacterial SSU rRNA". It matches the Rfam family "Bacterial small subunit ribosomal RNA", at positions 94 to 1399 of the family's 1533-position model. The record is from RNAcentral.